CCUACGGGUGGCAGCAGUGAGGAAUAUUGGUCAAUGGACGAGCGUCUGAACCAGCCAAGUAGCGUGAAGGAUGACUGCCCUAUGGGUUGUAAACUUCUUUUAUAUGGGAAUAAAACGUUCCACGUGUGGGAUUUUGUAUGUACCAUAUGAAUAAGGAUCGGCUAACUCCGUGCCAGCAGCCGCGGUAAUACGGAGGAUCCGAGCGUUAUCCGGAUUUAUUGGGUUUAAAGGGAGCGUAGGAGGAUUGUUAAGUCGGUUGUGAAAGUUUGCGGCUCAACCGUAAAAUUGCAGGUGAAACUGGCAGUCUUGAGUACAGUAGAGGUGGGCGGAAUUCGUGGUGUAGCGGUGAAAUGCUUAGAUAUCACGAAGAACUCCGAUUGCGAAGGCAGUUCACUGGACUGCAACUGACACUGAGGCUCGAAAGUGUGGGUAUCAAACAGGAUUAGAUACCCUUGUAGUC
RNAcentral lists this ribosomal RNA (460 nucleotides) under uncultured bacterium. RNAcentral describes it as "partial 16S ribosomal RNA". It matches the Rfam family "Bacterial small subunit ribosomal RNA", at positions 338 to 795 of the family's 1533-position model. The record is from RNAcentral.